UAGAGUUUGAUCAAGGCUCAGAUUGAACGCUGGCGGCAGGCCUAACACAUGCAAGUCGAGCGGAAACGGCAGUAUUGAAGCUUCGGUGGAUUUACUGGACGUCGAGCGGCGGACGGGUGAGUAACGGCUGGGAACCUGCCCUGACGAGGGGGAUAACCGUUGGAAACGACGGCUAAUACCGCAUAAUGUCUACGGACCAAAGGUGGCCUCUACAUGUAAGCUAUCGCGUUGGGAUGGGCCCAGUUAGGAUUAGCUAGUUGGUAAGGUAAUGGCUUACCAAGGCAACGAUCCUUAGCUGGUUUGAGAGGAUGAUCAGCCACACUGGGACUGAGACACGGCCCAGACUCCUACGGGAGGCAGCAGUGGGGAAUAUUGCACAAUGGGGGAGACCCUGAUGCAGCCAUGCCGCGUGUGUGAAGAAGGCCUUCGGGUUGUAAAGCACUUUCAGCAGUGAGGAAGGUCGUGUACUUAAUACGUGCACGGCUUGACGUUAGCUGCAGAAGAAGCACCGGCUAACUCCGUGCCAGCAGCCGCGGUAAUACGGAGGGUGCGAGCG
Molecule: ribosomal RNA, 556 nt
Filed under: uncultured bacterium
Lineage: Bacteria
Description: bacterial SSU rRNA
Rfam family: Bacterial small subunit ribosomal RNA
Source: RNAcentral